ACGAUGAACCACUUCGGUGGGGAUUAGUGGCGAACGGGUGAGUAACACGUGGGCAAUCUGCCCUGCACUCUGGGACAAGCCCUGGAAACGGGGUCUAAUACCGGAUACUGAUUGUCUUGGGCAUCCUUGAUGAUCGAAAGCUCCGGCGGUGCAGGAUGAGCCCGCGGCCUAUCAGCUUGUUGGUGAGGUAACGGCUCACCAAGGCGACGACGGGUAGCCGGCCUGAGAGGGCGACCGGCCACACUGGGACUGAGACACGGCCCAGACUCCUACGGGAGGCAGCAGUGGGGAAUAUUGCACAAUGGGCGAAAGCCUGAUGCAGCGACGCCGCGUGAGGGAUGACGGCCUUCGGGUUGUAAACCUCUUUCAGCAGGGAAGAAGCGAAAGUGACGGUACCUGCAGAAGAAGCGCCGGCUAACUACGUGCCAGCAGCCGCGGUAAUACGUAGGGCGCAAGCGUUGUCCGGAAUUAUUGGGCGUAAAGAGCUCGUAGGCGGCUUGUCGCGUCGGUUGUGAAAGCCCGGGGCUUAACCCCGGGUCUGCAGUCGAUACGGGCAGGCUAGAGUUCGGUAGGGGAGAUCGGAAUUCCUGGUGUAGCGGUGAAAUGCGCAGAUAUCAUGAGG
This 622-nucleotide ribosomal RNA is filed under the name Streptomyces sp. ANA107. RNAcentral's name for it is "bacterial SSU rRNA". It matches the Rfam family "Bacterial small subunit ribosomal RNA", at positions 66 to 704 of the family's 1533-position model. Lineage: Bacteria; Bacillati; Actinomycetota; Actinomycetes; Kitasatosporales; Streptomycetaceae. The record is from RNAcentral.